AGUGAACGCUGGCGGUAGGCCUAACACAUGCAAGUCGAACGGCAGCACAGUAAGGGCUUGCUCUUACGGGUGGCGAGUGGCGGACGGGUGAGGAAUACAUCGGAAUCUACUUUUUCGUGGGGGAUAACGUAGGGAAACUUACGCUAAUACCGCAUACGACCUACGGGUGAAAGCAGGGGAUCUUCGGACCUUGCGCGAUUGAAUGAGCCGAUGUCGGAUUAGCUAGUUGGCGGGGUAAAGGCCCACCAAGGCGACGAUCCGUAGCUGGUCUGAGAGGAUGAUCUGCCACACUGGAACUGAGACACGGUCCAGACUCCUACGGGAGGCAGCAGUGGGGAAUAUUGGACAAUGGGCGCAAGCCUGAUCCAGCCAUACCGCGUGGGUGAAGAAGGCCUUCGGGUUGUAAAGCCCUUUUGUUGGGAAAGAAAAGCAGCAGGUUAAUACCCCGCUGUUCUGACGGUACCCAAAGAAUAAGCACCGGCUAACUUCGUG
RNAcentral lists this ribosomal RNA (492 nucleotides) under uncultured bacterium. Its description in RNAcentral is "partial 16S ribosomal RNA". It matches the Rfam family "Bacterial small subunit ribosomal RNA", at positions 29 to 507 of the family's 1533-position model. The record is from RNAcentral.